AGAAAGUAGACUGUGGGACGUGUGGAGGAGACGACCACGUCAGAGACAGCUGGGGCCAGUCUGAGGAAUGUCACGCCCUGGGUCAGCGGCACUGCCGAUCAGUCAGGGUCACCAGACAGGUCUUAGGAGAACAUCGCUCGCUGGUUGAUCUACCAGAGAAUGCGAGAGACGCGAAGAACGGAUUUUGUGCGCGACACCGUUCUCUGGACAUUCACAGUGGCGCGACCCGGACACACAAAGCCCCAGGAUGGACGUGAUGGGAAACAGUUCGCUUGCUUUCAUUUUCAAAUAAAUGUAUAGGGCGUUUUGGCCAUGAUGCUGAUCAUGGCCUUCUUCCGGAAACACGUGACAGGUGGCAUUCCUGAGAAUGAAUGAAAAAGACUGUGCUCCAGACCCAAAGCUGUGAGCAGUAGGCACUCUGUCCACAACCUCAAUCUGGGAAAAUCACUUCCACAAAGGAUCUUUUAUGAAGAAUGUGAUCUGGGAGACUGGGGAGCCUCAGGAAAAAUGGCCUUGUCAUAUUUCUUUUGUUCUGCUCGACUUCAGAGUUCUGUCUUGAUUUUGUGAUUCCAUGUUUAAUGCGUGAAAGGAAGCUGAUUGGAAUUUGAAAGCCGAUUGAAGUUGGUAGGUCUUUGACUUCAUUUCUCAGCGUUCCCCUCAUCCUCCCCCUCCCUUUCUACCCAUUGAGAAGCCACAGUAGAGAGGGUCGCAAGACUCCUUGGCAGUCACUUCCACCAGGCAGUUUUGCCUAUGUUUGUCACCCACUGUGCCUCAUGCGUCCCCCACCUGCUUGCAUGGUGUCCUCUAAACGUUGUUGUGGCUCCAAUUGCACCGCAUUGUGCUGUUAGCUUAGCUGUCUGUGUGUUCUUCCCUACAUUAGACCUUCUUGAGGACAGAAAAUGUUUUGUCUUCUCACUAGGUCCUAGCAUAUGGCACAUGAUAUUUACUAAAUAAAAAACAUAUUGAGUAGGUGGUAGGGGUGGUCAUUUGUUUACAAAGAUGGCUGCAAUAAUUUUUCCCAUCCUACCCGCCAGUCCAUCUGCGGUGACUCUGCACUCCCCGUCGAGGGGUGGGAGUUAGUCCUUCACUCCUUGAAUCUGGGCUCGGCCAAUGGACGUUAGCAAAUGUGAUGCAAGCGGAAGCUUAAGAGCCGCUUGCACAAAAGGGCUGGCCCCUUUUCGUCUGUGUCCGUAACCCUGAGACUGAGAUGUGAACAAACCCGAGCAAGUUCCACAGAGGCCAUAUGCAGGAGAACUAAGCACGCCGGACAGCAGGCCGCCUGUAUCCAACUGGCCAACUGCGGACAAGUGGGUGAGGCCACCUUCGACCAUCAGCCCCAUUUAAGAUCCCAGAUGACUACAGACAGAUGAAUGACUCCAGACAAGACCAGCAGAAGAACAGCCCAGAUGAUACCAGCCCGAGUCGCUGACCCACGGAAUCAUGAACAAGCCAAUGAGGAAAUCGAAGCACUGAGAAGUAUGACCGAGACAGCAUUGCUCAUGCAAAGUUCUACCUGCUCUCCCGCAUGUCCCAGCCCCUUGCAGUUGGGUGGGACCGGAGGUGCUGGCAAAGUAAAGCCUGUGCAUGAUUCUCCCACUCUUCUCCUUCCCUGCAUGGUGCCUAGAAGGGUGGUGUCCAGAUGAGAAGGCAGACUGCCACAUGCAGCACCUCGUUUGGAUGUGUCUCGAGUCUUGGAAGCUUGAAUACCCUACGUUCUCCUACAAAUAGACCUUG
Acinonyx jubatus (cheetah) is the source of this 1734-nucleotide long non-coding RNA. RefSeq lists it as uncharacterized. The transcript is spliced from 5 exons. The record is from RefSeq and is a predicted model, not a curated record. Lineage: Eukaryota; Metazoa; Chordata; Mammalia; Carnivora; Felidae.